GAUGAACGCUGGCGGCGUGCCUAAUACAUGCAAGUCGAGCGAACGGACGAGAAGCUUGCUUCUCUGAUGUUAGCGGCGGACGGGUGAGUAACACGUGGAUAACCUACCUAUAAGACUGGGAUAACUUCGGGAAACCGAAGCUAAUACCGGAUAAUAAUUUGAACCGCAUGGUUCAAAAGUGAAAGACGGUCUUGCUGUCACUUAUAGAUGGAUCCGCGCUGCAUUAGCUAGUUGGUAAGGUAACGGCUUACCAAGGCAACGAUGCAUAGCCGACCUGAGAGGGUGAUCGGCCACACUGGAACUGAGACACGGUCCAGACUCCUACGGGAGGCAGCAGUAGGGAAUCUUCCGCAAUGGGCGAAAGCCUGACGGAGCAACGCCGCGUGAGUGAUGAAGGUCUUCGGAUCGUAAAACUCUGUUAUUAGGGAAGAACAUAUGUGUAAGUAACUGUGCACAUCUUGACGGUACCUAAUCAGAAAGCCACGGCUAACUACGUG
This 497-nucleotide ribosomal RNA is filed under the name uncultured bacterium. RNAcentral's name for it is "partial 16S ribosomal RNA". It matches the Rfam family "Bacterial small subunit ribosomal RNA", at positions 28 to 507 of the family's 1533-position model. The record is from RNAcentral.